This 914-nucleotide ribosomal RNA is filed under the name uncultured archaeon. RNAcentral describes it as "bacterial SSU rRNA". It matches the Rfam family "Archaeal small subunit ribosomal RNA", at positions 1 to 922 of the family's 1478-position model. The record is from RNAcentral.
UUCUGGUUGAUCCUGCCGGACCUGACUGCUAUCGGAUUGAUACUAAGCCAUGCGAGUCAUUGUAGUAAUACAAGGCAGACGGCUCAGUAACGCGUAGUCAACCUACCCUAUGGACGAGGAUAAUCUCGGGAAACUGAGGAUAAUACUCGAUAGACCAUUAUGCCUGGAACGGUUUAUGGUUAAAAUGAUUCGUCGCCAUAGGAUGGGACUGCGGCCUAUCAGCUUGUUGGUGAGGUAAUGGCCCACCAAGGCGAUUACAGGUACGGGCUCUGAGAGGAGAAGCCCGGAGAUGGGUACUGAGACAAGGACCCAGGCCCUAUGGGGCGCAGCAGGCGAGAAAACUUUGCAAUGUGCGAAAGCACGACAAGGUUAGUCCGAGUGAUUUCUGCUAAAGAAAUCUUUUGCAAGUCAUAAAACCACUAGUGAAUAAGGGGUGGGCAAGUUCUGGUGUCAGCCGCCGCGGUAAAACCAGCACCUCAAGUGGUCAGGAUGAUUAUUGGGCCUAAAGCAUCCGUAGCCGGCUCUGUUAGUUUUCGGUUAAAUCUAUGUGCUCAACGCAUGGGCUGCCGAAAAUACUGCAGGGCUAGGGAGUGGGAGAGGUAGACGGUACUCGGUAGGAAGGGGUAAAAUCCUUUGAUCUAUCGAUGACCACCUGUGGCGAAGGCGGUCUACCAGAACACGUUCGACGGUGAGGGAUGAAAGCUGGGGGAGCAAACCGGAUUAGAUACCCGGGUAGUCCCAGCUGUAAACGAUGCAGACUCGAUGAUGCAUUGGCUUAUUGCCAAUGCAGUGUCGCAGGGAAGCCGUUAAGUCUGCCGCCUGGGAAGUACGUACGCAAGUAUGAAACUUAAAGGAAUUGGCGGGGGAGCACCACAAGGGGUGAAGCCUGCGGUUCAAUUGGAUUCAACGCCGGA